Molecule: ribosomal RNA, 243 nt
Filed under: uncultured bacterium
Lineage: Bacteria
Description: partial 16S ribosomal RNA
Rfam family: Bacterial small subunit ribosomal RNA
Source: RNAcentral
CGACCGGCGCACGGGUGAGUAACGCGUAUGCAACUUACCUAUCAGGAGGGGAUAGCCCGGCGAAAGUCGGAUUAAUACCCCAUAAAACAGGGGUCCCGCAUGGGAAUAUUUGUUAAAGAUUCAUCGCUGAUAGAUAGGCAUGCGUUUCAUUAGGCAGUUGGCGGGGUAACGGCCCACCAAACCGACGAUGGAUAGGGGUUCUGAGAGGAAGGUCCCCCACAUUGGUACUGAGACACGGACCAA